GGUGUGACUGCGUACCUUUUGUAUAAUGGGUCAGCGACUUAUAUUCUGUAGCAAGGUUAACCGUAUAGGGGAGCCGCAGGGAAACCGAGUCUUAACUGGGCGUUAAGUUGCAGGGUAUAGACCCGAAACCCGGUGAUCUAGCCAUGGGCAGGUUGAAGGUUGGGUAACACUAACUGGAGGACCGAACCGACUAAUGUUGAAAAAUUAGCGGAUGACUUGUGGCUGGGGGUGAAAGGCCAAUCAAACCGGGAGAUAGCUGGUUCUCCCCGAAAGCUAUUUAGGUAGCGCCUCGUGAACUCAUCUUCGGGGGUAGAGCACUGUUUCGGCUAGGGGGUCAUCCCGACUUACCAACCCGAUGCAAACUACGAAUACCGAAGAAUGUUAUCACGGGAGACACACGGCGGGUGCUAACGUCCGUCGUGAAGAGGGAAACAACCCAGACCGCCAGCUAAGGUCCCAAAGUCAUGGUUAAGUGGGAAACGAUGUGGGAAGGCACAGACAGCCAGGAUGUUGGCUUAGAAGCAGCCAUCAUUUAAAGAAAGCGUAAUAGCUCACUGGUCGAGUCGGCCUGCGCGGAAGAUGUAACGGGGCUAAACCAUGCACCGAAGCUGCGGCAGCGACACUAUGUGUUGUUGGGUAGGGGAGCGUUCUGUAAGCCUGCGAAGGUGACCUGUGAGGGUUGCUGGAGGUAUCAGAAGUGCGAAUGCUGACAUAAGUAACGAUAAAGCGGGUGAAAAGCCCGCUCGCCGGAAGACCAAGGGUUCCUGUCCAACGUUAAUCGGGGCAGGGUGAGUCGACCCCUAAGGCGAGGCCGAAAGGCGUAGUCGAUGGGAAACAGGUUAAUAUUCCUGUACUUGGUGUUACUGCGAAGGGGGGACGGAGAAGGCUAUGUUAGCCGGGCGACGGUUGUCCCGGUUUAAGCAUGUAGGCUGGUUAUCCAGGCAAAUCCGGAUAAUCAAGGCUGAGGUGUGAUGACGAGGCACUACGGUGCUGAAGUAACAAAUGCCCUGCUUCCAGGAAAAGCCUCUAAGCAUCAGGUAACAUCAAAUCGUACCCCAAACCGACACAGGUGGUCAGGUAGAGAAUACCAAGGCGCUUGAGAGAACUCGGGUGAAGGAACUAGGCAAAAUGGUGCCGUAACUUCGGGAGAAGGCACGCUGGUGUGUAGGUGAAGCCCCUGCGGGUGGAGCUGAGACCAGUCGAAGAUACCAGCUGGCUGCAACUGUUUAUUAAAAACACAGCACUGUGCAAACACGAAAGU
This 1261-nucleotide ribosomal RNA is filed under the name Klebsiella quasipneumoniae. Its description in RNAcentral is "partial 23S ribosomal RNA". It matches the Rfam family "Bacterial large subunit ribosomal RNA", at positions 590 to 1838 of the family's 2925-position model. The record is from RNAcentral. Lineage: Bacteria; Pseudomonadati; Pseudomonadota; Gammaproteobacteria; Enterobacterales; Enterobacteriaceae.